Molecule: non-coding RNA, 46 nt
Organism: Picea glauca (white spruce)
Lineage: Eukaryota; Viridiplantae; Streptophyta; Pinopsida; Pinales; Pinaceae
Source: Rfam
GCAAUGGUGUCUUUAGACACCACCACUGAUAUCCAGUAAUCUCUAU